This 825-nucleotide ribosomal RNA is filed under the name Vibrio sp. MED222. Its description in RNAcentral is "bacterial SSU rRNA". It matches the Rfam family "Bacterial small subunit ribosomal RNA", at positions 1 to 805 of the family's 1533-position model. The record is from RNAcentral. Lineage: Bacteria; Pseudomonadati; Pseudomonadota; Gammaproteobacteria; Vibrionales; Vibrionaceae.
AAAUUGAAGAGUUUGAUCAUGGCUCAGAUUGAACGCUGGCGGCAGGCCUAACACAUGCAAGUCGAGCGGAAACGACACUAACAAUCCUUCGGGUGCGUUAAUGGGCGUCGAGCGGCGGACGGGUGAGUAAUGCCUAGGAAAUUGCCUUGAUGUGGGGGAUAACCAUUGGAAACGAUGGCUAAUACCGCAUAAUGCCUACGGGCCAAAGAGGGGGACCUUCGGGCCUCUCGCGUCAAGAUAUGCCUAGGUGGGAUUAGCUAGUUGGUGAGGUAAUGGCUCACCAAGGCGACGAUCCCUAGCUGGUCUGAGAGGAUGAUCAGCCACACUGGAACUGAGACACGGUCCAGACUCCUACGGGAGGCAGCAGUGGGGAAUAUUGCACAAUGGGCGAAAGCCUGAUGCAGCCAUGCCGCGUGUAUGAAGAAGGCCUUCGGGUUGUAAAGUACUUUCAGUUGUGAGGAAGGGUGUGUAGUUAAUAGCUGCACAUCUUGACGUUAGCAACAGAAGAAGCACCGGCUAACUCCGUGCCAGCAGCCGCGGUAAUACGGAGGGUGCGAGCGUUAAUCGGAAUUACUGGGCGUAAAGCGCAUGCAGGUGGUUCAUUAAGUCAGAUGUGAAAGCCCGGGGCUCAACCUCGGAACUGCAUUUGAAACUGGUGAACUAGAGUGCUGUAGAGGGGGGUAGAAUUUCACGUGUAGCGGUGAAAUGCGUAGAGAUCUGAAGGAAUACCAGUGGCGAAGGCGGCCCCCUGGACAGACACUGACACUCAGAUGCGAAAGCGUGGGGAGCAAACACGAUUAGAUACCCUGGUAGUCCACGCCGUAA